UUCAUCAGUUUGUUCCCCGUUUCUUCUCUAGCCUGAGCCUGACAAACUAUUCUAGCUAGACAUGCGUGUGGCUCGUAACACCUGAUGACCAAACGGAUCUAUAGCACCAUCGAAUCUCAAACUUUAACUGCCAAAACUAUUGUUUUCAUCCUGUAGUCCCUUUUAGAAUUACUAAACUUCCUUUUUUGGGCCGAGAUUUAGAGGAACGCUUUCUGGGGUUUGUGUGCAAGUAUUUCAAACCAUACAGACCUAAAAAUUAGAAGUCAUUCCAUCUUUAUUCCCCUAGAGCCUUCCAGCAGUUCCUAAACCGCUCUAGUCGGAGCACGUUAUCAUUAUUGUUAGUUCUGAGUGAAUUCCCUCGGUAUGAUAAUUCUUUCAUCAGUUUGUUCCCUGUUUCUUCUCUAUCCUGAGCCUGACACACUAUUCUAGCUAGACAUGGGUGUGGCUCGUAACACCUGAUGACUAAAUGGAUCGACGGCACCAUCGAAUCUCAAACUUUAACUGCCAAAACUAUUGUUUUUCAUCCUGUAGUCCCAUUUAGAAUUAGUAAACGUCCUUUUUUGGGCCGAGAUUUAGAGGAACGCUUUCUCGGGGUUUGUGUGCAAGUAUUUCAAACCAUACGGACCUAAAAAUUAGAAGUCAUUCCAUCUUUAUUCCCCUAGUCAUCAGGUAUACACUCAAGUCGGAGCACGUUAUCAUUCUUGUUAGUUCUGAGUGAAUUCCCUCGGUAUGAUAAUUCUUUCAUAAAUUUGUUCCCCGUUUCUUAUAUGGCCUGAGCCUGACACACUAUUCUAGCUAGACAUGGGUGUGGCUCGUAACACCUGAUGACCAAACGGAUCUACGGCACCAUCAAAUCUCAAACUUUAACUGCCAAAACUAUUCUUUUUCAUUCUGUAGUCCCUUCUAGAAUUACUAAACGUCCUUUUUUGGGCCGAGAUUUCCAGGAACGCUUUCUCGGGGUUUGUGUGCAUGUAUUUCAAACCAUACAGACCUAAAAAUUAUAAGUCAUUCCAUCUUUAUUCCCGUAGAGCCUUCCAGUAGUUCCUAAACCGCUCCAGUCGGAGCAUGUUAUCAUUCUUGUUAGUUCUAAGUGAAUUCCCUCGGUAUGAUAAUUCUUUCAUCAGUUUGUUCCCCGUUUCUUCUCUAGCCUGAGCCUGGCACACUAGUCUAGCUAGACAUGGGUGUGGCUCGUAACACCCGAUGACUAAAUGGAUCGACGGCACCAUCGAAUCUCAAACUUUAACUGCCAAAACUAUUGUUUUUCAUCCUGUAGUCCCAUUUAGAAUUACUAAACGUCCUUUUUUGGGCCGAGAUUUAGAGGAACGCUUUCUCGUGGUUUGUGUGCAAGAAUUUCAAACCAUACGGACCUAAAAAUUAGAAGUCAUUCCAUCUUUAUUCCCCUAGAGCCUUCCAGUAGUUCCUAAACCGCUCUAGUCGGAGCACGUUAUCAUUCUUGUUAGUUCUGAGAGAAUUCCCUCGGUAUGAUAAUUCUUUUAUCAGUUUGUUCCCCGUUUCUUCUCUAGCCUGAGCCCGACACACUAUUCUAGCUAGACAUGGGUGUGGCUCGUAACACCUGAUGACCAAACGGAUCUACGGCACCAUCGAAUCUCAAACUUUAACUGCCAAAACUAUUGUUUUUCAUCCUGUAGUCCCUUUUAGAAUUACUAAAUGUCCUUUUUUGGGCCGAGAUUUCCAGGAACGCUUUCUCAGGGUUUGUGUGCAAGUAAUUCAAACCAUACGGACCUAAAAAUUAGAAGUCAUUCCAUCUUUAUUCCCCUAGAGCCUUCCAGCAGUUCCUAAACCGCUCAAGUCAGUGCACGUUAUCAUUCUUGUUAGUUCUAAGUGAAUUCCCUCGGUAUGAUAAUUUGUUCAUCAGUUUGUUCCCCGUUUCUUCUCUAGCCUGAGCCUGACACACUAUUCUAGCUAGACAUGGGUGUGGCUCGUAACACCUGAUGACCAAACGGAUCUACGACACCAUCGAAUCUCAAACUUUAACUACCAAAACUAUUGUUUUUCAUCCUCUAGUCCCUUUUAGAAUUACUAAACGUCCUUUUUUGGGCCGAGAUUUCCAGGAACGCUUUCUCGGGGUUUGUGUGCAUGUAUUUCAAACCAUACAGACCUAAAAAUUAGAAGUCAUUCCAUCUUUAUUCCCGUAGAGCCUUCCAGCAGUUCCUAAACCGCUCCAGUCGGAGCAUGUUAUCAUUCUUGUUUGUUCUGAGUGAAUUCCCUCGGUAUGAUAAUUCUAUCAUCAGUUUGUUCCCCGUUUCUUCUCUAGCCUGAGCCUGGCAAACUAUUCUAGCUAGACAUGGGUGUGGCUCGUAACACCUGAUGACCAAACGGAUCUACGACACCAUCGAAUCUCAAACUUUAACUACCAAAACUAUUGUUUUUCAUUCUAUAGUCCCUUCUAGAAUUUCUAAACGUCCUUUUUUGGGCCGAGAUUUCCAGGAAUGCUUUCUCGGGGUUUGUGUGCAAGUAUUUCAAAUCAUACGGACCUAAAAAUUAGAAGUCAUUCCAUCUUUAUUCCCCUAGAGCCUUCCAGUAGUUCCUAAACCGCUCCAGUCGGAGCACGUUAUCAUUCUUGUUAGUUCAUAGUGAAUUCCCUCGGUAUGAUAAUUCUUUCAUCAGUUUGUUCCCCGUUUCUUCUCUAGCCUGAGCCUGGCACAGUAUUCUAGCUAGACAUGGGUGUGGUCGUAACACCUGAUGACUAAAUGGAUCGACGGCACCAUCGAAUCUCAAACUUUAACUGCCAAAACUAUUGUUUUUCAUCCUGUAAUCCCAUUUAGAAUUACUAAACGUCCUUUUUUGGGCCGAGAUUUAGAGGAACGCUUUGUUGGGGUUUGUGUGCAAGUAUUUCAAACCAUACGGACCUAAAAAUUAGAACUCAUUCCAUAUUUAUUCCCCUUGAGCCUUCCAGCAGUUCCUAAACCGCUCUAGUCGGAGCACGUUAUCAUUCUUGUUAGUUCUAAGAGAAUUCCCUCGGUAUGAUAAUUCUUUUAUCAGUUUGUUCCCCGUUUCUUCUCUAGACUGGGCCCGACACACUAUUCUAGCUAGACAUGGGUGUGGCUCGUAACACCUGAUGACCAAACGGAUCUACGGCACCAUCGAAUCUCAAACUUCAACUGCCAAAACUAUUGUUUUUCAUCCUGUAGUCCCUUUUAGAAUUACUAAACGUCCUUUUUUGGGCCGAGAUUUCCAGGAACGCUUUCUCGGGGUUUGUGUGCAAGUAUUUCAAACCAUACGGACCUAAAAAUUAGAAGUCAUUCCAUCUUUAUUCCCGUAGAGCCAUCCAGCAGUUCCUAAACCGCUCCAGUCGGAGCACGUUAUCAUUCUUGUUAGUUCUGAGUGAAUUCCCUCGGUAUGAUAAUUCUUUCAUCAGUUUGUUCCCCGUUUCUUCUCUAGCCUGAGCCUGACAAACUAUUAUAGCUAGACAUGGGUGUGGCUCGUAACACCUGAUGACCAAACGGAUCUAUGGCACCAUCGAAUCUCAAACUUUAACUGCCAAAACUAUUGUUUUUCAUCCUGUAGUCCCUUUUAGAAUUACUAAACGCCCUUCUUUGGGACGAGAUUUCCAGGAACGCUUUCUCGGGGUUUGUGUGAAAGUAAUUCAAACCAUACGGACCUAAAAAUUAGAAGUCAUUCCAUCUUUAUUCCCGUGGAGCCUUCCAGUAGUUCCUAAACCGCUCCAGUCGGAGCACGUUAUCAUUCUUGUUAGUUCUGAGUGAAUUCCCUCGGUAUGAUAAUUCUUUCAUCAGUUUGUUCCCUGUUUCUUCUCUAGCCUGAGCCUGGCACACUAUUCUAGCUAGACAUGGGUGUGGCUCGUAACACCUGAUGACUAAACUGAUCAAUGACACCAUCGAAUCUCAAACUUUAACUGCCAAAACUAUUGUUUUUCAUCCUGUAGUCCCAUUUAGAAUUACUAAACGUCCUUUUUUGGGCCGAGAUUUCCAGGAACGCUUACUCGGGGUUUGUGUGCAAGUAUUUCAAACCAUACUGACCUAAAAAUUAGAAGUCAAUCCAUCUUUAUUCCCCUAGAGCCUUCCAGCAGUUCCUAAACCGCUCCAGUCGGAGCACGUUAUCAUUCUUGUUAGUUCUGAGUGAAUUCCCUCGGUAUGAUAAUUCUUUCAUCAGUUUGUUCCUUGUUUCUUCUCUAGCCUGAACCUGACACACUAUUCUAGCUAGACAUGGGUGUGGCUCGUAACACCUGAUGACCAAACGGAUCUACGGCACCAUCGAAUCUCAAACUUUAACUGCCAAAACUAUUAUUUUUAAUCCUCUAGUCCCAUUUAGAAUUACUAAACGUCCUUUUUUGGGCCGAGAUUUAGAGGAACGCUUUCAUGCGGUUUGUGUGCAAGUAUUUCAAACCAUACGGACCUAAAAAUUAGAAGUCAUUCCAUCUUUAUUCCCCUAGAGCCUUCCAGCAGUUCCUAAACCGCUCCAGUCGGAGCAUGUUAUCAUUCUUGUUAGUUCUGAGUGAAUUCCCUCGGUAUGAUAAUUCUUUCAUCAGUUUGUGGCCCGUUUCUUCUCUAGCCUGAGCCUGACACACUAUUCUAGCUAGACGUGGGUGUGGCUCGUAACACCUGAUGACCAAACGGAUCUACGGCACCAUCGAAUCUCAAACUUUAAGUGCCAAAACUAUUAUUUUUAAUCCUGUAGUCCCAUUUAGAAUUAC
RNAcentral lists this long non-coding RNA (4672 nucleotides) under Triticum aestivum (bread wheat). RNAcentral describes it as "long non-coding RNA (TAES_LNC028121)". The record is from RNAcentral. Lineage: Eukaryota; Viridiplantae; Streptophyta; Magnoliopsida; Poales; Poaceae.